Molecule: unclassified non-coding RNA, 21 nt
Filed under: Mus musculus (house mouse)
Lineage: Eukaryota; Metazoa; Chordata; Mammalia; Rodentia; Muridae
Description: oocyte_clustered_small_RNA6466
Source: RNAcentral
GGCAUGAGAGGUCAUGGAGAA